GCCUAGCUAGCUCAAUCGGCAGAGCGUGAGACUCUUAAUCUCAAGGUUGGGGGUUCGACCCCCCCGUUGGGCU
This 73-nucleotide transfer RNA is filed under the name Apophysomyces ossiformis. It matches the Rfam family "tRNA". Rfam says of the family: Transfer RNA (tRNA) molecules are approximately 80 nucleotides in length. Their secondary structure includes four short double-helical elements and three loops (D, anti-codon, and T loops). Lineage: Eukaryota; Fungi; Mucoromycota; Mucoromycetes; Mucorales; Mucoraceae. The record is from Rfam by way of RNAcentral.